This 512-nucleotide ribosomal RNA is filed under the name uncultured bacterium. Its description in RNAcentral is "bacterial SSU rRNA". It matches the Rfam family "Bacterial small subunit ribosomal RNA", at positions 777 to 1300 of the family's 1533-position model. The record is from RNAcentral.
AAUAGAUACCCCGGUAGUCCACGCUGUAAACGAUGUCGACUCGGUGUGUGGUGCGCGUUUUGCGCGCGCUGCGUGCCUUAGCUCACGCGGGAAGUCGACCGCCUGGGGACUACGAGCGCAAGCUUAAAACUCAAAGGAAUUGACGGGGGCCCGCACAAGCAGCGGAGCGUGUGGUUUAAUUCGACGUAACGCGCAGAACCUCACCCAGACUGGACAUGGACCUGCACACGCGUGAAAGCGCGGAGCCUUCGAGGGUGGUCCACAGAUGCUGCAUGGCUGUCGUCAGCUCGUGUCGUAAGAUGUUGGGUUAAGUCCCGCAACGAGCGCAACCCUGCCCGUAGUUACUGCGUGUCUACGGGGACGGCGCCUGGAUGGGCGCAGGAAGGCGGGGAUGAUGUCAAGUCCGCAUGGCUCUUACGUCUGGGGCGACACACACGCUACAAUGGGACGAGUAGUGGGCAGCAAGACCGCAAGGUGGAGCGAAUCCUCAAUCCGUCCCCCAGUGCAGAGUC